This 498-nucleotide ribosomal RNA is filed under the name uncultured bacterium. Its description in RNAcentral is "partial 16S ribosomal RNA". It matches the Rfam family "Bacterial small subunit ribosomal RNA", at positions 28 to 507 of the family's 1533-position model. The record is from RNAcentral.
GACGAACGCUGGCGGCGUGCCUAAUACAUGCAAGUCGAACGAGAGCGCCCGGUGCUUGCCCUGGUCAAUCUAGUGGCGAACGGGUGAGUAACACGUGGGUAACCUGCCCAUCAGAGGGGGAUAACAUUCGGAAACGGAUGCUAACACCGCAUAGGUCUUCGCACCGCAUGGUUUGAAGAGGAAAAGAGGCGCAAGCUUCUGCUGAUGGAUGUACCCGCGGUGCAUUAGCUAGUUGGUGAGGUAACGGCUCACCAAGGCCGUGAUGCAUAGCCGACCUGAGAGGGUGAUAGGCGACAUUGGGACUGAGACACGGCCAAAACUCCUACGGGAGGCAGCAGUAGGGAAUCUUCCGCAAUGGACGCAAGUCUGACGGAGCAACGCCGCGUGAGUGAAGAAGGUGUUCGGAUCGUAAAACUCUGUUGUUAGAGAAGAAUAAGUGCUAGAGUAACUGUUAGCGCCUUGACGGUAACUAACCAGAAAGCCACGGCUAACUACGUG